Molecule: ribosomal RNA, 608 nt
Filed under: uncultured bacterium
Lineage: Bacteria
Description: bacterial SSU rRNA
Rfam family: Bacterial small subunit ribosomal RNA
Source: RNAcentral
AUAGUCUCACCCUGGCCGGUAGUUUGACAGCUUAACACAUGCAGUCGAGCGGGGAAGGGUAGCUUGCUACCUAACCUACGGCGGACGGGUGAGUAAUGCUUAGGAAUCUGCCAUUUAGUGGGGGACAACAUCCGAAAGGAAUAGCUAAUACCGCAUACGUACCUACGGGAGAAAGCAGGGGAUACUUACGGACCUUGCGCUAAAUGAUGAGCCUAAGUCGGAUUAGCUAGUUGGUAGGGGUAAAGGCCUACCAAGGCGACGAUACUAGUAGCGGGUACUAGAGAGGAUAGAUACCGCCACACUAGGGACUAGAAGACACGGCCCAGACUACCUACGGGAGGCAGCAGUAGGGGAAUAUAUGGACAAUAGGGCGGAAGCCUAGAUACCAGCCAUAGCCGCGUAGUAGUAGAAGAAGGCCUUUUGGUUGUAAAGCACUUUAAGCGAGGAGGAGGCUCCUAGUUUAAUACCUAGGGAUUGAGUAGGGCGUAACUCNCAGAAUAAGCACCGGCUAAAACUACUAGUAGCCCAGGCAAAGACCAGCGAGUAAUUACNAGAGGAGGUAGCGAAGACCGUUUAAAUACCGNGAAUAUUACUUGGGGCGUUAAAAA